This 521-nucleotide ribosomal RNA is filed under the name uncultured bacterium. RNAcentral describes it as "bacterial SSU rRNA". It matches the Rfam family "Archaeal small subunit ribosomal RNA", at positions 345 to 866 of the family's 1478-position model. The record is from RNAcentral.
AACCUCCGCAAUGUGAGAAAUCGCGACGGGGGGAUCCCAAGUGCCAUUCUUAACGGGAUGGCUUUUCAUUAGUGUAAAGAGCUUUUGGAAUAAGGGCUGGGCAAGACCGGUGCCAGCCGCCGCGGUAACACCGGCAGCUCUAGUGGUAGCAGUUUUUAUUGGGCCUAAAGCGUCCGUAGCCGGUUUAAUAAGUCUCUGGUGAAAUCCUGCAGCUUAACUGUGGGAAUUGCUGGAGAUACUAUUAGACUUGAGACCGGGAGAGGUUAGAGGUACUCCCAGGGUAGAGGUGAAAUUCUGUAAUCCUGGGAGGACCGCCUGUUGCGAAGGCGUCUAACUGGAACGGUUCUGACGGUGAGGGACGAAAGUUAGGGGCGCGAACCGGAUUAGAUACCCGGGUAGUCCUAACUGUAAACGAUGCGGACUUGGUGUUGGGGUGGCUUUGAGCUGCUUCAGUGCCGAAGGGAAGCUGUUAAGUCCGCCGCCUGGGAAGUACGGUCGCAAGACUGAAACUUAAAGGAAUG